RNAcentral lists this ribosomal RNA (349 nucleotides) under uncultured bacterium. Its description in RNAcentral is "bacterial SSU rRNA". It matches the Rfam family "Bacterial small subunit ribosomal RNA", at positions 8 to 349 of the family's 1533-position model. The record is from RNAcentral.
AGAGUUUGAUCAUGGCUCAGGAUGAACGCUAGCUACAGGCUUAACACAUGCAAGUCGAGGGGCAGCAUGUUGGUUGCUUGCAACCAACGAUGGCGACCGGCGCACGGGUGAGUAACGCGUAUCCAACCUACCCUUGUCCAUCGGAUAACCCGUCGAAAGGCGGCCUAACACGAUAUGCGGUUCACAGCAGGCAUCUAACGUGAACGAAAUGUAAAGGAGAAGGAUGGGGAUGCGUCUGAUUAGCUUGGUUGGCGGGGUAACGGCCACCAAGGCGACGAUCAGUAGGGGUUCUGAGAGGAAGGUCCCCCACGAUUGGAACUGAGACACGGUCCAAACUCCUACGGGAGCA